CCAUGUCUGCUUUUACAUAACAUUAUACCUUCAAAAAUGCAUCUUGAGGAUGUUCAAUAAGUCAAUAUUAAAGAGUGAAUGGAUAUUAAAGGACUGAAUGGAUAUUAAGUUAGUGACGGUAUUGUUGAAUUGGGUUUUAGGUAUGGUAGAAAGGCUCAAGAUGAUUCUAUAAGUAGGUCUGAUUUCAAAGCCUGUCUCAUUUUCCAUUUGUACCUCAUAAGCUUGUUGUGGUAAUUACAUUAAAAAUGUAAGUAGAGCUUCCGACAUAGU
This 270-nucleotide long non-coding RNA is filed under the name Bos taurus (domestic cattle). Its description in RNAcentral is "long non-coding RNA NONBTAT025491". The record is from RNAcentral. Lineage: Eukaryota; Metazoa; Chordata; Mammalia; Artiodactyla; Bovidae.